CGGUAAACAGAGGGAAGCGAGCCCGCGAGGGGGAGCGAAUCCCAAAAAUAAACGUCCCAGUUCGGAUUGUAGUCUGCAACUCGACUACAUGAAGCUGGAAUCGCUAGUAAUCGCGAAUCAGCAUGUCGCGGUGAAUACGUUCCCGGGUCUUGUACACACCGCCCGUCACACCAUGGGAGUCAGUAACGCCCGAAGCCGGUGACCCAACCAAGAAUGGAGGGAGCCGUCGAAGGUGGGACCGAUAACUGGGGUGAAGUCGUAACAAGGUAGC
This 271-nucleotide ribosomal RNA is filed under the name uncultured bacterium. Its description in RNAcentral is "partial 16S ribosomal RNA". It matches the Rfam family "Bacterial small subunit ribosomal RNA", at positions 1234 to 1500 of the family's 1533-position model. The record is from RNAcentral.